UGCGUAGGCGGAUUUUUAAGUGAGAUGUGAAAUACUCGGGCUUAACCUGAGUGCUGCAUUUCAAACUGGAAGUCUAGAGUGCAGGAGAGGAGAAGGGAAUUCCUAGUGUAGCGGUGAAAUGCGUAGAGAUUAGGAAGAACACCAGUGGCGAAGGCGCUUCUCUGGACUGUAACUGACGCUGAGGCUGAAAGCGUGGGGAGCAAACA
This 206-nucleotide ribosomal RNA is filed under the name uncultured bacterium. Its description in RNAcentral is "partial 16S ribosomal RNA". It matches the Rfam family "Bacterial small subunit ribosomal RNA", at positions 568 to 774 of the family's 1533-position model. The record is from RNAcentral.